AUUAUUUUGCCUUACCUUACAAAAAAAAAAAUUAAAUAGUAGGUAAUGGAUUGCCAAAAAUAGCAACAGUCUUCUCUGUUUACAUAUGAUAGUUAUUUGUAAAACGUGGCCUUAAGUUGUUCCUAGCCGUGAAUAUUUUAAAAACGGUUCGGAAUGUAAACUUAACCAAUUGAAUAUCGAAAUAAGAUCACAAUAUUUGACUAUCGGAGAAACAGAUUCAUUGCUGUGCUCGUCCGUCUAAGUUGUUCACUACAAAGUGCACUACGAUGUCACAUCGAAAUACAUGUGCAAGCGACAAAUUAAUUCCGGUCUAUUGAUGAAGCAGGAAAUGAAUAAUGAAUAAGAAAAGAAAAUAUCGAACUAUUACAAUGAUAAAAUAAACAUUACUUUACUACGAGGGUAGUAUAUCCACGACAUAUACAUAUAUUGUCAUGAUUUCGACCAAAAACAAUAAUCAAAUUCAUUUUUAAGACUGUCUUCGACCUAUGGUUGACAAAUAGUGUGUAGAUGGAUAAUAGCAUUCGGCGAUGUUAAUCUCGGUCAACCUUAUGUGUAUACAUAACUUCAAUAACAUAGGUACAGUCACCUCCAAUAAAGUGUAAGUACUUUCGCACUUUCGCUUUCAACUUUCGCACGAACAGCGGCGGUUGUAUAGACGAGAUAAAGCGACGAAUGGCAAUCACUAGGUCAGCGAUGGAGAAAUUGCAAAGAAUGCAAAGAAAAAAGAACUCGGUUUGUACGAUCGCUUGUACUCUCCAUAUUCCUUUAUGCGUCGAAAACGUGGAUCCUACGAGAGGGAGAAAAAGAAGAUAGACGCGCUCGAGAUGUGGUGCUGGAGAAGAAUGCUGAAGAUACCUUGGACCACCAAUGUACUAAAAAGGCAGCGACUAGGUGGCGUCUGGUAAAGUAGGUCAUUGAUACUUGAUGACCAUGACCAAUCUGACAAAACUGUAACGACGAAGAAGAAGAACUUUCGCACUUGUCUACAGAGUAUAGCUGACCAUUAAAUUGGUUAAAUCAUUGAUGUCUUGCAAAUAUAAAAGAACCACGGCUGACCAUUAAAUUGGUUAGAUCAUUGAAGUGUUACAGGUAUAAAAGCACCACGGCUGACCAUUAAAUUGGUUAGUUCAUUGAAGUGUUACAGGUAUAAAAGCACCACGGCUGACCAUUAAAUUGGUUGGAUGAUUUGUGUCUUACAAGUAUGAAAACAUGUCUAAAGACAUAAAAGCACUACGGCUGACCAUUAAAUUGGUUAGAUGAUUCAUGUCUUGCAAACAUGAAAGCUGCAUAGCGGACCAUUAAAUUGGUUAGAUCAGUCAUGUCUUACAGACGUGAAAGCAGCACGGCUGACCAUUAAAUUGGUUAGAUCAUCUAAUCGUUAAAUCGAUAAGUUCAUUUACAGCCUGAAAAGUUGUCAAGUACAUAAAUUAAGAAGAUUGAAACCCUGAUCGAUAAAUUGAUAUUACGAGUGGUAAGAAGUUUGAAGCUAAAAUUUGUGUGAAGCAAACUGUUCACUAAAUUAAGUUACAGAUUAAUAAACGCAGCACUCGGCGAGCAAGUCUAAUUGUUGUGCCGAAAGUGAGUGGAAAGAGAUAUAUGUAUAACAAACGAAGGAGUACAGCUUCAUAAGUUGUUACUGUCAUCUUUAUAAAUCAUAAUUAUUGGACCAAGUCAUGGAGGAAUUCAUUGUAAAAGUCGCUGUUAAGGCAACUCCUCGCUGAGGACACACUAGUCGCAGUCGGGGUAUGUUGAAGCUGGAUUUUGUUAUCAAUAACCCGCAAAAAAUUGGUGAGUAAACUUGAAUUAAGUUUUAACGGCUUUAAACUCAAUUUAGGGAGUAGAAAUACCGAUUUAUGAAAUACUGAACCAAAAUCGCACUAUGGACUUAUUAAAACGACUUUAGCACACCGCCUAAAAGUGUGUUUAAAAUCAGAGAGAUCUUGUUGACAUAUAAUUUUACUUUUAAAUGGCAUUCCAUUUGGAUUAUUAUGAGCUGAAAAAAAACGAUUGUGGAAUAAAAUGCUAUCGCUUAGUUCUACUAACUUAACUAUUUUCAUACAUAAUAUCUACUGUUUGAUUGUAAAUAACAUUAGAGAAUAAACGGCAAUGACAAGUUCAUUUGCUGACCUGUGAAAAGAAGGGACAAAGAGUUUGUCUCUUUAUGUUUAUUUAUGUUACGCUUAUAUUGAAAAAGACUUUUACUAUGUUCAGAGUAGUCAUUAGCAAUUCAUUGUUACAUAUAGGUUGAACAUCUGAUAAAUUGAAAACUUAUAGUGGCAUUUAAAUAUUGUACAUCAAGUUAAAUAUAAAGUUCAACAUAAUUGAAUACCGUCAGUGACUCUGUGUUGUGGGUUGAAAGAUCUCAAAUAAGCUGGGAAAUAAAUUUGGUAAUUAAAUAUAAAAAAGGUAUAAGUCUUGACUUUUGAAACCUUCAUUCAAUAGAAAAUAUAACAUCUUUGAAGGAGAAGAAACAUUAAAUUGUUAACAUAGUAAGUUAGUCAUUUUCAGGUUAAGUAUUAGAAAAAGAAAAUUAUCAUUGACUAUUCCAUAAUAUAGAACAUUCUUAUUGAUGCGUGGGUGGCUUCAUCUGUCUGUCUGUCUAUCUGACCUUCUUUCAAGCGGGAACUGCUGGGCCAAUUUGGAUGAGGUUUGGUACAUUGAUGGACGGGAGCCUGGGACCAUUGUCAUGGACUGAUUUUGAUGUAUUGGAAUAUGUGAAUUUUGUGCGAGUAUUUAGUGGGUUUAAUAUGUUUCAGUAUAAAACUUAAUAAUAUUAAGUGAUUAGCCUAAGUGAUUGAAAUGCUAUACAAGUCAGUAUUUCGUGCGAGCGAAGUCGCGGGCACAGUUACAUCAGUUACAGCUUUUGGUGUUCCAACCAACUAGUACUGUGUCUACAGUGCAUAGCAUUCAUAGUACAGAGUAAAAUUUUAUUAUUACUACUAGCGUAAAUUAUCACGUCUAGGAUACAUUCAAACUGUUAAGUACUUUUAAGUACUGUUAAUUAUUAAACAUUACUUUUUAGCAAAAUAUUUGGUUUCGACAUUAAUAAUUUACACAAAGAUAACAAAGUAAGCGUCAAUUAAAAUCCUGCUUCCCAUACGGUAGAGACAGGUAUUGAUGGCGAUAUUGAAGUUCGGAAUAUUUUAACGUGACAAAUGCCAAGACGAAAAUAAGUUUAUUUAAAAUGAAUUGAGGGACACUGGCGCGUUCUAAAUAACAAAUGGAAGGAAGUAGAGCAUAUAGAAGGAAGAAAUAAUGGAAAC
Molecule: long non-coding RNA, 3263 nt
Organism: Papilio xuthus (Asian swallowtail)
Lineage: Eukaryota; Metazoa; Arthropoda; Insecta; Lepidoptera; Papilionidae
Exons: 3
Source: RefSeq, a predicted model, not a curated record